Molecule: transfer RNA, 71 nt
Filed under: Loxodonta africana (African savanna elephant)
Lineage: Eukaryota; Metazoa; Chordata; Mammalia; Proboscidea; Elephantidae
Rfam family: tRNA
About the family: Transfer RNA (tRNA) molecules are approximately 80 nucleotides in length. Their secondary structure includes four short double-helical elements and three loops (D, anti-codon, and T loops). Further hydrogen bonds mediate the characteristic L-shaped molecular structure. tRNAs have two regions of fundamental functional importance: the anti-codon, which is responsible for specific mRNA codon recognition, and the 3' end, to which the tRNAs corresponding amino acid is attached (by aminoacyl-tRNA synthetases). tRNAs cope with the degeneracy of the genetic code in two manners: having more than one tRNA (with a specific anti-codon) for a particular amino acid; and 'wobble' base-pairing, i.e. permitting non-standard base-pairing at the 3rd anti-codon position.
Source: Rfam by way of RNAcentral
GCGGAGGACGUUCAGUGGUAGAACCCUUGCCUUGCAUGCAGGAGACCUGGGUUCAAUUCCCGGCCGACACA